Manacus vitellinus (golden-collared manakin) is the source of this 1103-nucleotide long non-coding RNA. RefSeq lists it as uncharacterized. The transcript has 5 exons. The record is from RefSeq and is a predicted model, not a curated record. Lineage: Eukaryota; Metazoa; Chordata; Aves; Passeriformes; Pipridae.
AAAUGCUGUUAUCUUGGUUUUAUUCCUUUAUGGCUAAGCCACAACAAUGGUAUUUUCACAUUGAAAACUCCUGUGCACUCUGUCAUAAUAUCUGUCAGUAACUUAAAAUUUUUAACAGAUUUGAGGGGUAGGAGAGGAUACCAGAUGACGUUUUUAUUGUGAUUACGCAGUAAUGCAACACAGACGCUCUGCAGCACCACCAAAUGGAGAACACACCACCACAGACACAAGAGCCAAUCGGGCAGCCUUAACACCAGUGCAAGCUGCCAGGAACGGAGACCAGAAAGCACCACUUCCUAUACAGAGUAGCAGCCACAGGCCUGAAAUACUUGGGAUGAACACCACCAAUAGCCCCAUAACACUGCCACAGGGUGCAGAGAAAGGGCCAGAACAGCCACUCCGGGCAGCUGGAACAUCCUCUAACACCAGGACACCACAGCCUUGGCAGAAAUGAUUCUUGUGAAUUUUUCUGCCAGCAUGACAAGUAAUGGUGAAAGCAGCAGAGAGGACACUGAAGGAGAACGAGGAUGCUUCUGACUUUGCUUCUUUAAGAUAAUAUAGUGAGUGCAGGCAACUUCCCAUAGUGAUCCACCUAGGUAGCAACAAAACUGAUAAAACUGGAACUGUGGAUCCCUACUCCAGCAGACUGAGCACAGUGCUGUAAGUGUCCCAGUCUGAGCAGUUUCUGUUGUACUGCUGCAGAACAGGAUUGCAGUUUUUGCUGACCCUGUCUUGAAGCUACGUUUCAAUGUCCCUUCAAGGAAGCUGGUCCGUCUCCUCUCCAGAGUAUGACUGGUAGUGCCACUGCUCUUCGUUGAGUGCAGUAUUUUGGAUUUCAGUCUGUUAACUGGGUAGAUUCCAUCAAGGGUCCAACUUAUUUUGGAGUAAUCUCCAUGAAGAUACUGAAGCCGCAGAGCUGCUAGGCGCUGCAGAGUGUCCUCUGGUGCUGGAAAAUGACCAUCUAUGAGGCUUUCAUGAGCCUAUAAACAAACAGAAAGUCCCCCAGACUCAUCAGAAAGCAGAAGCACACUUUAUUCACAGCUGGGUCCGUGUACAGAUUCCUAAUGGCAUCUGCCGAUCCCAGUAGGAAAGACACAAUUCAG